UGAGGAAUAUUGGUCAAUGGGCGAGAGCCUGAACCAGCCAAGUAGCGUGCAGGAUGACGGCCCUAUGGGUUGUAAACUGCUUUUGUAUGGGGAUAAAGUCAAUCACGUGUGAUUGUUUGCAGGUACCAUACGAAUAAGGACCGGCUAAUUCCGUGCCAGCAGCCGCGGUAAUACGGAAGGUCCGGGCGUUAUCCGGAUUUAUUGGGUUUAAAGGGAGCGUAGGCUGGAGAUUAAGUGUGUUGUGAAAUGUAGACGCUCAACGUCUGACUUGCAGCGCAUACUGGUUUCCUUGAGUACGCACAACGUUGGCGGAAUUCGUCGUGUAGCGGUGAAAUGCUUAGAUAUGACGAAGAACUCCGAUUGCGAAGGCAGCUGACGGGAGCGCAACUGACGCUGAAGCUCGAAGGUGCGGGUAUCAAACAGGAUUAGAUACCCUGGUAGUCCGCACAGUAAACGAUGGAUGCCCGUUGUUAGUUCACUUAAGAAUUAGCGACCAAGCGAAAGCAUUAAGCAUCCCACCUGGGGAGUACGCCGGCAACGGUG
This 543-nucleotide ribosomal RNA is filed under the name uncultured bacterium. RNAcentral describes it as "bacterial SSU rRNA". It matches the Rfam family "Bacterial small subunit ribosomal RNA", at positions 355 to 896 of the family's 1533-position model. The record is from RNAcentral.